RNAcentral lists this ribosomal RNA (480 nucleotides) under Triticum aestivum (bread wheat). Its description in RNAcentral is "partial small subunit ribosomal RNA". Lineage: Eukaryota; Viridiplantae; Streptophyta; Magnoliopsida; Poales; Poaceae. The record is from RNAcentral.
AUGGCGUCCGGAGGCAUUGCCCGCGGCCGCCUCGCCGAGGAGCGCAAGUCGUGGCGCAAGAACCACCCCCAUGGCUUCGUGGCCAAGCCGGAGACCCUGCCGGAUGGGUCCGUCAAUCUCAUGGUCUGGCGGUGCAUCAUCCCCGGCAAGCCAGGGACUGACUGGGAAGGUGGAUAUUACCCGCUCACUAUGCAAUUUGAUGAUAAUUACCCAACCACCGCUCCUAGCUGCAGGUUCCCAGCAGGUUUCUUCCAUAUCAAUGUCUACGAUUCUGGAGCAGUAUGCCUAUCGAUCCUGGGUGGUGCAUGGAAACCUUCAAUUACAGUGAAGCAGGUUUUGGUAGGCAUCCAGGAGUUGCUUGAUGACCCAAAUCCUAACUCAUCCGCACAGCAUCGAUGCUAUGAACUCUAUAAAAAGGACAUGCCAGAGUACAGGAACAAAGUCCGUGAGCAGGCCAAGCGCUACCCUUCACGCAUGUAG